AUACGGAGGGUGCAAGCGUUGUCCGGAUUUAUUGGGUUUAAAGGGUGCGUAGGCGGCCCGUUAAGUCAGUGGUGAAAGGUAUCAGCUCAACUGAUGAAGUGCCAUUGAAACUAACGGGCUUGAGUACAGACGAGGUAGGCGGAAUUUAUGGUGUAGCGGUGAAAUGCAUAGAUACCAUAAAGAACACCGAUAGCGAAGGCAGCUUACUAGACUGUCACUGACGCUGAGGCACGAAAGCGUGGGGAGCAAACAGGAUUAGAAACCCCAGUAGUCC
This 274-nucleotide ribosomal RNA is filed under the name uncultured bacterium. RNAcentral's name for it is "partial 16S ribosomal RNA". It matches the Rfam family "Bacterial small subunit ribosomal RNA", at positions 523 to 796 of the family's 1533-position model. The record is from RNAcentral.